GAUGGCUUUGUGGUUUUGGACAGAAAAAAUGAAAUGCCAAUAGCAAGGAUGAAUUGGGAGGGUGUUUGAUGGCUCCUCAAUGUGACAGAAAAUGGAUGGAAAAUUCUGCAUCAAGCAAAGCCAUGUUAAGUUACUUGAUGUUCUUUUGGAGCAGGUCUUGAAAAGUGCAAGAAGAGGUUUUUGGAGAAUGAGUGUACAAUGGUUCUGUUGUGUGAUGGU
This 219-nucleotide long non-coding RNA is filed under the name Lathyrus oleraceus (garden pea). RNAcentral's name for it is "Pisum sativum (pea) long non-coding RNA (PSAT_LNC023038)". The record is from RNAcentral. Lineage: Eukaryota; Viridiplantae; Streptophyta; Magnoliopsida; Fabales; Fabaceae.